UGCAGAAUCCCGUGAACCAUCGAGUCUUUGAACGCAAGUUGCGCCCCAAGCCUUCUGGCCGAGGGCACGUCUGCCUGGGUGUCACAAAUCGUCGUCCCUCUCAUCCUUUUAGGACGUGGGACGGAAGCUGGUCUCCCGUGUGUUACCGCACGCGGUUGGCCAAAAUCCGAGCUAAGGACGCCGAGAGCGUCACGACAUGCGGUGGUGAACUAAAGCCUCUUCGUAUUGUCGGUCGUUCUUGUCCAUAAGCUCUCGAUGACCCAAAGUCCUCAAAGCGACCCCAGGUCAGGCGGGAUCACCCGCUGAGUUUAAGCAUAUCAAUAAGCGGAGGAGAAGAAACUAACAAGGAUUCCCUUAGUAACGGCGAGCGAACCGGGAAGAGCCCAGCUUGAAAAUCGGAUGUCUUCGACGUUCGA
RNAcentral lists this ribosomal RNA (416 nucleotides) under Cardamine amara. RNAcentral describes it as "eukaryotic LSU rRNA". The stretch from base 276 to 416 matches the Rfam family "Eukaryotic large subunit ribosomal RNA", at positions 1 to 141 of the family's 3401-position model. Lineage: Eukaryota; Viridiplantae; Streptophyta; Magnoliopsida; Brassicales; Brassicaceae. The record is from RNAcentral.